GACAAUAAUCCAGGCGAUGCCAAAUUAAAGACUGGCACCAUUCCCAAGGCAAAGGCUGGCACCGGUGUUGGCAAUCCAGUUCGAAAACCUAUUGUUGUUCCAUGUAGACAGACAACAAACCUGCAGUUCCCAAGAAGACGGCUGGUUUUCAUCCACGUGAUACCGAGGUGAAAGCAGAUAGCGAGGAGGUCGAUCCGGCACACAGAACCUUGUUUGAUGAUUAUUGUAUUGAUACAGAUAAUCCGCUUGGUAAAGGUAGCUUUGGCACUGUGUUUCCGGGGACCAGUAAAGCCGAUGGCAAACCGCCUGGAUCUGGAUUGGUUCUUACAGAACUAGCAGUGUUGCUCAAGUUAAAGGAAAAUCCAAACCCUUAUGUGAUCAAACUUUAUGACAGCUACAGAUGUGGCCUUUAAAAACGCGUGUUUUCUCCCGCGGCAUUCGCCAAUUCGUCUCACGGAGUCUCGCAGAAUUCUGCAAGUGCUUUCGGGGGGGCUACUUUCCCUUUUCCCUUAAUGUGUUUCGCUUCACAGAAUAUCCACCAGGUGGCGCAUAAAAGUGUAUGCUUUGUCAUUGCGGUUGUUUCCAGAAGUUAAUAAGGGCUUUGCUGAAUAUAUAACAUUGCUAUUAAAACAACAAAGUGACGUCAACCCCUUCUUGCCAGCAUAACAGCGCAUACAACUAAUAAGACGUGCAAUGCGCAUUUAUACUAAAGUGCAACAGAGACCCUUACGAAAAUAAACCAUGGGUCUAUUGUGGUAAAAGUGUAGUAAUCAUGUUUUUUUUUGGUGUAUUGAUUACUACGGGUUUACUACACUUACCAUGGUACACCUUUAUACACCUUUCUGCUUUGUUUAAAUUGACAAGCAUUUUAUUCGCCACUGUCAACACGGUUUGUGAUUGAUUUACUGAUUUAUUACAGAAACUUGUCAGAAGCAAAGCUGUUGUACUAAGCAUCUUUAAAUAUAUGUUUUGAAGUAAAAAAUGUUGUAAAAAAUAUAGUAGCAUUCUUAUGUAUGAAGAAUAACAAUAUGAUACAUUUAUAUUGCGCUAAAAUGCUUUACAUAUGGAAAGAGGAAUUAUUCUCAACCAUGGGCGGCGCUAGAGGUGGGCUAGCGGGGCUUGAGCCCCGGACCUAUUUUGUAAAGCCCCGAUUGUUAUAAUAUGGGCGUAACUAAUUUUAAUCUGUUAAAAUAUUUUCUAUUACAGCCGAACUGUAAAUCUCUCGUCAAGAACUGUCAACUUGCUCGUUUGAUUAUUUAUGUAGACGGUUAAAAACACGUCUUAUAGACCUUUCUUUUCCCUUCCAAAGCGCGUGAGAGGUGGCGCGUCUUUCGUUGCUACUGUACGCAACCAUGAGCACGCUCUCCGUGACGGCAAGUGACUGAAUGCGUGAUCGGAUUUGAAUUGCUCAUAUUCAGGGAACUACACUGCGACCAAAAUGGUCGCAUAUGCAACCUUUUGAACUGCCGAUGCGACCCUAAUUUUUAAUGGGUCGCAAAUGUGCUACCUAAUGUUUUAGACAAUAUGCUAUGAUUUACUAUGAGCAUUUAUUAAAACAUAAAUGUGGAUUUUAAGAAUACGUUUUAUAACGUGCUCUGAGCCUUCAACAAGUUGGCUUCAUUUUGCGUGAAAGCACGUUGUGUCUCUCCCUAUGAGUCUGCAUUCGCAUGCGUUCGCGUGCUCUCUGUUUCUCAAUGAAUUGGGUGUGACGCGAAGCAAGCUCAGGCCACGUUUACAUGGAAACGAUCUGAAAAGAAACCGCAAAAGUGGCGUUGGGUUAUCACUUUUUAUUCCGCGUUUAUACAAGCAUUUUGAGGGGGAAAGCUGCGUGCAUAUGGUGACGCAAAAGUGUGUGAUUUUCGAUGUAGUAUGCACUCCAGGCGGCUAGGUGGCAAUGUGAAGCACUGAAACACAACAACACCCAGUCCGUGAGCCUGCGUACAACCUUCUUCCUGGUUCUCCCAGGUCUCGUCCAAAGCCGUCUGGUUUGCCUCCGACGAAUUGGCGCAUCAACAGUUUCACUGAGGUAAUUAACGCGCCUUCUCUGAUCAGUAAUACUUGCUGUGAAUAAUUUGUACAACUGCU
Non-coding RNA from Misgurnus anguillicaudatus (oriental weatherfish), 2085 nucleotides. NCBI's taxonomy places the organism in Eukaryota, Metazoa, Chordata, Actinopteri, Cypriniformes, Cobitidae. The record is from RefSeq and is a predicted model, not a curated record.